CCUGAGAAACCCAAAAGAUCGAAUGGGGAGAUUCAUCGUCAGCGAUCCUGGCGCGUGCGCGGUUCUCGAUGCCGCGGGACCUCGGUCUUCGCGGCACGCGUCCGCGCAUCGUUUUUAUUGCCGGGUGUCGUCGGCGUGCACUUCUCCCCUAGUAGGACGUCGCGACCCGUUGGGUGUCGGUCUACGGCCCGGGUGGGCGCCUGUCGUGUUUAACGCCUCGCGGCGCGUAAUGCGGCAGACCCCCGGUCGCCCGACCAGCUGCCCGGCGGUACUCGCACGGUAUCGAGCCGCAAAUAUUCGAACUGCGUCCGGCCCGCCGCAAGCGAGGCCAGUGUUUCCCGGAUGUUACGGACCUAGUGCCGUCACCGGGCCUGGCCAGCUGUUGGCUGGCGGUGUUCUAGGACCGGCUCUCUUAAUUGAAUUAUGAUACCGGUCGGCGACGCUACUGCUUUGGGUACUUUCAGGACCCGUCUUGAAACACGGACCAAGGAGUCUAACAUGUGCGCGAGUCAUUGGGAACUCCGUUAAGCCUAAAGGCGCAAUGAAAGUGAAGGUCGGCCUUGCGCCGACCGAGGGAGGAUGGGCCGCGUCACGAUGCGGUCCCGCACUCCCGGGGCGUCUCGUUCUCAUUGCGAGAAGAGCGCACCCAGAGCGUACACGUUGGGACCCGAAAGAUGGU
Molecule: ribosomal RNA, 679 nt
Filed under: Scolobates sp. DLJQ-2008
Lineage: Eukaryota; Metazoa; Arthropoda; Insecta; Hymenoptera; Ichneumonidae
Description: eukaryotic LSU rRNA
Rfam family: Eukaryotic large subunit ribosomal RNA
Source: RNAcentral